This 225-nucleotide unclassified non-coding RNA is filed under the name uncultured fungus. Its description in RNAcentral is "sequence contains ITS1, 5.8S rRNA gene". Lineage: Eukaryota; Fungi. The record is from RNAcentral.
UUAACGUUUAAUAGUUUAUUCAGACAUUGCAUCAAAACACGAGUUUAUAAUAGGUCUUCUGGCAGGUAAACUCCAACCACCAGGCUACGAACCCGACAGUCGGGCGCUCGAGAGCGCUGCCCCACCGAAGCAACAUGGACAGGUUCACAGGGGAUGUAAAGUGUGGAUUCGGACUUAUAACGUCCGUUUCUCUUAAUGGUCCUUCCGCAGGUUCACCUACGGAAA